AAUAGAUACCCAGGUAGUCCACGCCGUAAACGAUGAGUGCUAAGUGUUAGAGGGUUUCCGCCCUUUAGUGCUGCAGCUAACGCAUUAAGCACUCCGCCUGGGGAGUACGGUCGCAAGACUGAAACUCAAAGGAAUUGACGGGGGCCCGCACAAGCGGUGGAGCAUGUGGUUUAAUUCGAAGCAACGCGAAGAACCUUACCAGGUCUUGACAUCCCACUGACCGGUAUAGAGAUAUACCUUUCCCUUCGGGGACAGUGGUGACAGGUGGUGCAUGGUUGUCGUCAGCUCGUGUCGUGAGAUGUUGGGUUAAGUCCCGCAACGAGCGCAACCCUUGAUCUUAGUUGCCAGCAUUUAGUUGGGCACUCUAAGGUGACUGCCGGUGACAAACCGGAGGAGGGUGGGGAUGACGUCAAAUCAUCAUGCCCCUUAUGACCUGGGCUACACACGUGCUACAAUGGAUGGUACAAAGGGCUGCAAGACUGCGAAGUCAAGCCAAUCCCAUAAAACCAUUCUCAGUUCGGAUUGCAGG
This 529-nucleotide ribosomal RNA is filed under the name uncultured bacterium. RNAcentral describes it as "bacterial SSU rRNA". It matches the Rfam family "Bacterial small subunit ribosomal RNA", at positions 777 to 1304 of the family's 1533-position model. The record is from RNAcentral.